This is a non-coding RNA of Macaca mulatta (Rhesus monkey), 308 nucleotides long. Lineage: Eukaryota; Metazoa; Chordata; Mammalia; Primates; Cercopithecidae. The record is from RefSeq and is a predicted model, not a curated record.
UUUUUUCACAGGGGCUUCCUCCACCCUUUGCUGGCCUCUUGUUCGGGCCCCAGGAGGGCUGACUUCUCUCUUGCGCUUGAUAGAAGGGGACAGCUGUGUCUUUGAUCUGCAUUAAGCAAAGUCAAGGCAAUGUGCCUACAGAAAUGCCCAAAACAUGGCAAGCAGGCAGUAAAUGUCCUGUCAAUGAAUAAAAGGCUUGGAAAACCAAAAUUGCAAGAGACGGAGAAACGGGACUCUACUGAUAUGAAGACACGUCUUUCAUUUAUUGUUUGACAGCAAAAGUAAAUAAACUCAAAUUGAGUCAAAAA